RNAcentral lists this ribosomal RNA (497 nucleotides) under uncultured bacterium. Its description in RNAcentral is "partial 16S ribosomal RNA". It matches the Rfam family "Bacterial small subunit ribosomal RNA", at positions 28 to 507 of the family's 1533-position model. The record is from RNAcentral.
GAUGAACGCUGGCGGCGUGCCUAAUACAUGCCAGUCGAGCGAACAGACGAGGAGCUUGCUCCUCUGACGUUAGCGGCGGACGGGUGAGUAACACGUGGAUAACCUACCUAUAAGACUGGGAUAACUUCGGGAAACCGGAGCUAAUACCGGAUAAUAUAUUGAACCGCAUGGUUCAAUAGUGAAAGACGGUUUUGCUGUCACUUAUAGAUGGAUCCGCGCCGCAUUAGCUAGUUGGUAAGGUAACGGCUUACCAAGGCGAAGAUGCGUAGCCGACCUGAGAGGGUGAUCGGCCACACUGGAACUGAGACACGGUCCAGACUCCUACGGGAGGCAGCAGUAGGGAAUCUUCCGCAAUGGGCGAAAGCCUGACGGAGCAACGCCGCGUGAGUGAUGAAGGUCUUCGGAUCGUAAAACUCUGUUAUUAGGGAAGAACAAAUGUGUAAGUAACUAUGCACGUCUUGACGGUACCUAAUCAGAAAGCCACGGCUAACUACGUG